AAAACAUCGCCCCUCGCCUUAAUUAUUCUUCACUAUGGAAAUUGCGCCAGCAGCGUGUUAAUGACUACAGCCAGGGAGAUAAGUUGGAGUUACUACCUUCUCAGCGGACCUCGAUGGCUGAGUGUUUGGGCUUGGCUCUGGAGUGGUGACUUAACAUCUAGAAGUCCGCCAACAACUGGAAGCGAGCCGGACCUGGCGACAGGCACCCCCCCUGGUAUAAAUGACGACAUCUCCAUCUGCAUAACCAUUGGACCUGACGAAACGCCCUUCGAAACGCGUUGUCCC
This is a long non-coding RNA of Hyla sarda, 285 nucleotides long. RefSeq lists it as uncharacterized. The record is from RefSeq and is a predicted model, not a curated record. The transcript is spliced from 4 exons. Lineage: Eukaryota; Metazoa; Chordata; Amphibia; Anura; Hylidae.